Molecule: ribosomal RNA, 2818 nt
Filed under: Mesorhizobium ventifaucium
Lineage: Bacteria; Pseudomonadati; Pseudomonadota; Alphaproteobacteria; Hyphomicrobiales; Phyllobacteriaceae
Description: ribosomal RNA 23s ribosomal RNA
Rfam family: Bacterial large subunit ribosomal RNA
Source: RNAcentral
UCAAGUGUCUUAAGGGCAAUUGGUGGAUGCCUUGGCAUGCACAGGCGAUGAAGGACGUGAUACGCUGCGAUAAGCUACGGGGAGGUGCGAAUACCCUUUGAUCCGUAGAUUUCCGAAUGGGGAAACCCACCUAAGGUGCUUGGAAAAUCAGAGCAGCCAGUGGUCGACAAGGCCGACUUGCUGCUGUGGUUUCCAAGGAUCUGUUAUAGGUAACUUAUCCUGAAUACAUAGGGAUAAAGUGGCGAACGCGGGGAACUGAAACAUCUAAGUACCCGUAGGAAAGGACAUCAACCGAGACUCCGGCAGUAGUGGCGAGCGAACCCGGACCAGGCCAGUGGCGAUGAUGAGACAAGCGGAACCUUCUGGAAAGGAGGGCCAUAGUGGGUGACAGCCCCGUACGCGUAAUGCAAAUCAUCGUCCUCGAGUAAGGCGGGACACGUGAAAUCCUGUCUGAAAUUGGGGGGACCACCCUCCAAGCCUAAGUACUCGUGCAUGACCGAUAGCGAACUAGUACCGUGAGGGAAAGGUGAAAAGCACCCCGACAAGGGGAGUGAAAGAGUACCUGAAACCGAUUGCCUACAAACAGUGGGAGUCCAAGGUUCGUCCUGGGUGACCACGUACCUUUUGUAUAAUGGGUCAGCGACUUAGUGUGACGAGCAAGCUUAAACCGGUAGGUGUAGGCGCAGCGAAAGCGAGUCUGAACAGGGCGUUCAGUUCGUCGCAUUAGACCCGAAACCGAGUGAUCUAGCCAUGAGCAGGUUGAAGGUAAGGUAACACUUACUGGAGGACCGAACCCAUAACUGUUGCAAUAGUUCGGGAUGACUUGUGGCUAGGGGUGAAAGGCCAAUCAAACUCGGAAAUAGCUGGUUCUCCGCGAAAUCUAUUUAGGUAGAGCGUCGACCGAAUACCCCAGGGGGUAGAGCACUGGAUGGGCUAGGGGUCCUCACCGGAUUACCAAACCUAACCAAACUCCGAAUACCUGGGAGUACUAGUCGGCAGACACACGGCGGGUGCUAACGUCCGUCGUGAAAAGGGAAACAACCCUGACCUACAGCUAAGGUCCCCAAGUUAUGGCUAAGUGGGAAAGGAUGUGAGGAUCCCAAAACAACCAGGAUGUUGGCUUAGAAGCAGCCAUCAUUUAAAGAAAGCGUAACAGCUCACUGGUCUAAAUAAGGGUCUUUGCGCCGAAAAUGUAACGGGGCUCAAGCCAUACACCGAAGCUUAGGGUUCGUGAGCAAUCACGAGCGGUAGCGGAGCGUUCUGUAAGCUGAUGAAGCCAUACCCGUGAGGGGUGGUGGAGGUAUCAGAAGUGCGAAUGCUGACAUGAGUAACGUAAGGGGAGUGAGAGACUCCCCCGCCGAAAGUCCAAGGGUUCCUGCUUAAAGCUAAUCUGAGCAGGGUUAGCCGGCCCCUAAGUCGAGGCAGAAAUGCGUAGACGAUGGGAACCACGUUAAUAUUCGUGGGCCUGGAGGAAGUGACGGAUCAUUGAGGUAGUCCAAUCUUAUCGGAUUGAACGGGCUGCUGCGUGGUUCCAGGAAAUAGCUCCUCCUUAUAGACCGUACCCGAAACCGACACUGGUGGACUGGUAGAGUAUACCAAGGCGCUUGAGAGAACUAUGCUGAAGGAACUCGGCAAAUUGCACGCGUAACUUCGGAAGAAGCGUGACCCUUUUCCACGCAAGUGGAGGAGGGUGGCACAGACCAGGGGGUAGCGACUGUUUAUCAAAAACACAGGGCUCUGCGAAGUCGCAAGACGACGUAUAGGGUCUGACGCCUGCCCGGUGCUGGAAGGUUAAGAGGAGGGGUGCAAGCUCUGAAUCGAAGCCCCAGUAAACGGCGGCCGUAACUAUAACGGUCCUAAGGUAGCGAAAUUCCUUGUCGGGUAAGUUCCGACCUGCACGAAUGGCGUAACGACUUCCCCGCUGUCUCCAGCAUAGACUCAGUGAAAUUGAAUUCCCCGUGAAGAUGCGGGGUUCCUGCGGUUAGACGGAAAGACCCCGUGCACCUUUACUAUAGCUUUACAUUGGCAUUCGUAGUGGCAUGUGUAGGAUAGGUGGUAGGCUUUGAAACCUGGGCGCCAGCUCAGGUGGAGCCACCCUUGAAAUACCACCCUUAUCACUAUGGAUGUCUAACCGCGGCCCGUCAUCCGGGUCCGGGACAAUGUAUGGUGGGUAGUUUGACUGGGGCGGUCGCCUCCUAAAGAGUAACGGAGGCGCGCGAUGGUGGGCUCAGAACGGUCGGAAAUCGUUCGCUGAGUGCAAUGGCAUAAGCCUGCCUGACUGCGAGACUGACAAGUCGAGCAGAGACGAAAGUCGGUCAUAGUGAUCCGGUGGUCCCGCGUGGAAGGGCCAUCGCUCAACGGAUAAAAGGUACGCCGGGGAUAACAGGCUGAUGACCCCCAAGAGUCCAUAUCGACGGGGUUGUUUGGCACCUCGAUGUCGACUCAUCGCAUCCUGGGGCUGGAGCAGGUCCCAAGGGUAUGGCUGUUCGCCAUUUAAAGCGGUACGUGAGUUGGGUUCAGAACGUCGUGAGACAGUUCGGUCCCUAUCUGCCGUGGGUGUAGGAAUAUUGAAAGGAUCUGUCCCUAGUACGAGAGGACCGGGAUGGACGGAUCUCUGGUGGACCUGUUGUGGCGCCAGCCGCAUAGCAGGGUAGCUAUAUCCGGACGGGAUAACCGCUGAAGGCAUCUAAGCGGGAAACCCACCUUAAAACGAGUAUUCCCUGAGAACCGUGGAAGACGACCACGUUGAUAGGCCGGGUGUGGAAGAGCGGCAACGCUUGAAGCUUACCGGUACUAAUAGUUCGAUCGGCUUGAUCGU